This 73-nucleotide transfer RNA is filed under the name Pangasianodon gigas (Mekong giant catfish). Its description in RNAcentral is "tRNA-Lys". Lineage: Eukaryota; Metazoa; Chordata; Actinopteri; Siluriformes; Pangasiidae. The record is from RNAcentral.
GCCUGGCUAGCUCAGUUGGUAGAGCAUGGUACACUUGAUCUCAUGAUUGUGGGUUUGAGCCCCACGCUGGGUG